This 728-nucleotide long non-coding RNA is filed under the name Homo sapiens (human). Its description in RNAcentral is "non-protein coding lnc-GABPA-10:1". Lineage: Eukaryota; Metazoa; Chordata; Mammalia; Primates; Hominidae. The record is from RNAcentral.
UUUGUAAAAUCACAAGGUUCUGCCUUUUUGCCAGAACUGACCCAAAACAGCACUCCAGGGAACCGGUACUAGGAAAAUUCUGCCCUCUGUAUCUAUUGUUAAGAAGCAACUGCCAUAAUCAAUUUGCUGGAGAGAAGUGGUUCCGUGCUGGCACAGUCUCAAUUAUCUGAUGAACAGAAACGCUAAAAUGGGCUUGUAGGUGGAUUUAACAACCAUUUCAAGACUAUGAAAGAAAUUAUAUUAGAAAGAAUGAAGUCAAAAACAAAAACUUCAGCCUGAGCACAGUGAGUUCCCUAUGACUGAAAACACUCAUUUAUCCUCCCACAUGAGCAGUUUAAUGAGAGGAGCCCACAGGAGCUUACGGAUGUUCACCACCCAUGGUUUCCAUUGCAUUGGUUUCCUCCUGUGGGCCUUCCUCAUAGAGAAGAUGUAUUGGAAUAUAGAGGUAAGAGCUGCUAGCUUUAUUGAAGUCAGACCACCAGGAAGCUAUAAAGGCCAUUCUUAAAAUAAUAUUUUUUCAUCCCAUAGCAAUAUAGUAGUAACACUGCUGAGUCAAUACUCCAGUAUACCCCUCUUGCUAGACUGAUGUUUUGAGGAAGAUGGUGGUGAAGAUGGAAAAGGGGAAUCAGAACCUGGGUCAGGUGCCUCCUUUGGCAAAAGCAGCAAAAUAAAACUUAAAACCAGGGAUUGUUUUCUUGGACGGUGUUACUGUUAACAAGGCUAGAACU